CAUGCAAGUCGUACGAAGAAGUUUUUUAACUUCAAGUGGCGGAACGGGUGAAGUAACACGUAAGAAAUUUACCUUUAGGAAGGGGGACAACAAUCGGAAACGGCUGCUAAUACCCCAUAUGCUUUAGAGUGAAAUGGAUUUUCCGCCUAGAGAGAAGCUUGCGGCUGAUUAGCUUGUUGGUAGAGUAAUAGCCUACCAAGGCGACGAUCAGUAUCUGGUUUGAGAGGACGAUCAGACACACUGGAACUGAGACACGGUCCAGACUCUUACGGGAGGCAGCAGUAGGGAAUUUUCCGCAAUGGGCGAAAGCCUGACGGAGCAAUACCGCGUGAGGGAUGACUGCCUAUGGGUUGUAAACCUCUUUUUUCAGGGAGGAAUAAAUGACGUGUACCUGAAGAAUAAGCAUCGGCUAACUCCGUGCCAGCAGCCGCGGUAAGACGGAGGAUGCAAGUGUUAUCCGGAAUCACUGGGCGUAAAGCGUCUGUAGGUGGUCAAAUAAGUCAACUGUUAAAUCUUGAGGCUCAACCUCAAAAUCGCAGUCGAAACUAUUAGACUAGAGUAUAGUAGAGGUAAAGGGAAUUUCCAGUGGAGCGGUGAAAUGCGUAGAGAUUGGAAAGAACACCGAUGGCGAAGGCACUUUACUGGGCUAUUACUGACACUCAGAGACGAAAGCUAGGGUAGCAAAUGGGAUUAGAUACCCCCAGUAGUCCUAGCUGUAAACAAUGGAUACU
Molecule: ribosomal RNA, 731 nt
Filed under: uncultured bacterium
Lineage: Bacteria
Description: bacterial SSU rRNA
Rfam family: Bacterial small subunit ribosomal RNA
Source: RNAcentral